UCUCGGGUGACGAGUGGCGGACGGGUGAGUAAUGUCUGGGAAACUGCCUGAUGGAGGGGGAUAACUACUGGAAACGGUAGCUAAUACCGCAUAACGUCGCAAGACCAAAGAGGGGGACCUUCGGGCCUCUUGCCAUCAGAUGUGCCCAGAUGGGAUUAGCUAGUAGGUGGGGUAACGGCUCACCUAGGCGACGAUCCCUAGCUGGUCUGAGAGGAUGACCAGCCACACUGGAACUGAGACACGGUCCAGACUCCUACGGGAGGCAGCAGUGGGGAAUAUUGCACAAUGGGCGCAAGCCUGAUGCAGCCAUGCCGCGUGUGUGAAGAAGGCCUUCGGGUUGUAAAGCACUUUCAGCGGGGAGGAAGGGAGUAAGGUUAAUAACCUUGCUCAUUGACGUUACCCGCAGAAGAAGCACCGGCUAACUCCGUGCCAGCAGCCGCGGUAAUACGGAGGGUGCAAGCGUUAAUCGGAAUUACUGGGCGUAAAGCGCACGCAGGCGGUCUGUCAAGUCGGAUGUGAAAUCCCCGGGCUCAACCUGGGAACUGCAUCCGAAACUGGCAGGCUUGAGUCUCGUAGAGGGAGGUAGAAUUCCAGGUGUAGCGGUGAAAUGCGUAGAGAUCUGGAGGAAUACCGGUGGCGAAGGCGGCCUCCUGGACGAAGACUGACGCUCAGGUGCGAAAGCGUGGGGAG
RNAcentral lists this ribosomal RNA (690 nucleotides) under Enterobacter cloacae. RNAcentral describes it as "bacterial SSU rRNA". It matches the Rfam family "Bacterial small subunit ribosomal RNA", at positions 82 to 768 of the family's 1533-position model. The record is from RNAcentral. Lineage: Bacteria; Pseudomonadati; Pseudomonadota; Gammaproteobacteria; Enterobacterales; Enterobacteriaceae.